This is a long non-coding RNA of Ornithorhynchus anatinus (platypus), 989 nucleotides long. RefSeq lists it as uncharacterized. Lineage: Eukaryota; Metazoa; Chordata; Mammalia; Monotremata; Ornithorhynchidae. The transcript is spliced from 3 exons. The record is from RefSeq and is a predicted model, not a curated record.
GCUCAGUUCCAGGAAGUCAAAUAAUGUCAGAGCCAAAGAGAGCUUGUUACUCUUUUGCUUUCAAGUACAGAGAAGCUGCUUUAUUCUCUAGCCAACUUCUUGAAAAAGGCUCAUGCUUUGGCUCCUUUACUCUCAAGGAGAGCAGAACAAAUAAUACAAACUCAAAGGAUCAAUGUGAAACACCAAGAUUCUCAGCUUCUACCUGUCAAUAUUUUGGGACCCAAAAUUGUAAGUGAAUGUGCAAGUAAAUCAGAAAACUGAUCUGGCCAGCACAGUGAAGGAUGGAUGGGAGAGGGUAUCCUUUAUAAGUUUGAAGAAUGGCCAGAAUCAAACAGAUUUAAGAAAUAGCGAUGGGCAGGACUUUGACUUCACCUACAAGGAGUCAAAAAGAAACGUAUGUCAUGGUGUCGCAGGGAGUAACAGCAGGAAUCUACCCAUUUCCUUUGCACAUCCUGUAACUCUCAAGGCAAAUCGUUUUCCAACAAAAGGCUGAGGUGAGUUGAGAAGAGGAGGAGAAGCGGAAUGGGAGCAAGAGGAAUCACUAAUAAAAACACUGGUGGAGCUUUUUCUUUGAAGACCAUGAAUUCUCCCCCUAUCUUUCAAAGGAAUUCUAUCCAGAUGGGGAACAAAUGUAGCUGGACGGAUUCUGAGCGGAGAAACUUGUGACUCAUUUGACUCAAAACUACAACCUUUUGAUGCAGGAAAAGACCUACCUAUUAGCCUGAAAGACAGUUCUCUCCUUACCUUGGGAACUUAAGGUUGGAAGUGAGAUCUUCUCCCCACUGAUGUUAGGUUAAACCCAUGUUUCAUACAUAAUCUUUAUUUUCAAGCCAGGCUUAGAUUCCUUGGGGCCCAGAUGUUCAUUUCCUGUUUCUGAGAGAUGUAGCUUAUACUCAAGAAUUUCACAUCCCCAAAUGAUAUUGAGGAGUUCAGAAGAAGGAAUGGUUGGUGUAUACCUGUAUGUGUCAAUAAAAGUUACAUAAGAAGGG